GGAUUUCCCAACAGACAGCAAGAAGUACUGCUACACACUCACCACUGAAGAAAGACGGCGCUACAUUGUCCGCGCCACCUUCUUGUACGGGGCUUCGGUCAGCCAAGGCGCCUACCCCAAGUUCCAGCUCUACCUGGAUACAACAAAAUGGUCGACAGUGACGGUUAUGGAAGCUUCUAGAAUAUAUGUUAAGGAGAUGAUCAUAAGGGCGCCGUCUCACUCUGUGGACGUGUGCCUGUGCUGCGCAACCACGGGCUCUCCGUUCAUAUCAACUCUCGAGAUGCGGCCUUUAAACCUGUCAAUGUAUCCACUGAUUAUGAAGAUGAUUUCUACAUGAAAGUGGCGGCACGAGUCAAUUUUGGUGCCCCGAGCCAAGAAGCUAUAAGGUUAAUUGUGUUUGCAAAAUGAUUUCCUCACAUUGCAAUGUACUGAAUGGAAGUUCUCGCGCAGGUACCCCGAUGACCCCUACGACCGAAUAUGGGAAUCUGAUCUUGAUCGAAGGCCGAAUUUCCUGGUUGGGGUGGCACCUGGUACAGAGAGAAUCAACACUACCAGAAACAUAGAUGUAAAUACAAGAGAAUAUCCACCUGUUAAAGUAAUGCAGACUGCAGUUAUCGGGACUAAAGGAAGCCUCAGCUACCGGUUGAAUCUAGAGGACUUUCCAGCUAAUGCUCGAGCUUAUGCAUACUUCGCUGAGAUUCAAGAUUUGGGAUCAAAUGAGACGCGGAAAUUCAAAAUGGAGCAGCCUUACAAUCCUGACUACAGCAAUGCAGUGGUGAACAUAGCUGAGAAUGCCAACGGAAGUUAUACACUGUAUGAGCCUAGCUACAUGAAUGUGUCGUUGGAUUUUGUUCUGACAUUUGCAUUUGUCAAAACUCGGGAUUCAACACAAGGACCAAUUCUCAACGCAAUGGAAAUAAGCAGAUAUCUAGAGAUUGCUGCUAAGACAGAUGAGAAAGAUGGUAGGAACAUGAUUUCACAUUAUCCGUUUUUCAGAAAUUGCAAUGCAUGAAUACUUACUUACUAGUCUUUUCUUCCAUUCGAAAGAGAGCAGCCUAAGUGUCCUGCGUUCUAUGUUUGCUCAAAG
Molecule: long non-coding RNA, 1087 nt
Filed under: Salvia miltiorrhiza (redroot sage)
Lineage: Eukaryota; Viridiplantae; Streptophyta; Magnoliopsida; Lamiales; Lamiaceae
Description: long non-coding RNA (SMIL_LNC002441)
Source: RNAcentral